GAUGAACGCUGGCGGCGUGCUUAACACAUGCGAGUCGAACGAUGAAGCCCAGCUUGCUGGGUGGAUUAGUGGCGAACGGGUGAGUAACACGUGAGCAACCUGCCCCUGACUCUGGGAUAAGCGCUGGAAACGGCGUCUAAUACUGGAUAUGUCCCGUCACCGCAUGGUGUGCGGGUGGAAAGAUUUUUCGGUUGGGGAUGGGCUCGCGGCCUAUCAGCUUGUUGGUGAGGUAAUGGCUCACCAAGGCGUCGACGGGUAGCCGGCCUGAGAGGGUGACCGGCCACACUGGGACUGAGACACGGCCCAGACUCCUACGGGAGGCAGCAGUGGGGAAUAUUGCACAAUGGGCUGAAGCCUGAUGCAGCAACGCCGCGUGAGGGAUGACGGCCUUCGGGUUGUAAACCUCUUUUAGCAGGGAAGAAGCGAAAGUGACGGUACCUGCAGAAAAAGCACCGGCUAACUACGUG
RNAcentral lists this ribosomal RNA (467 nucleotides) under uncultured bacterium. RNAcentral describes it as "partial 16S ribosomal RNA". It matches the Rfam family "Bacterial small subunit ribosomal RNA", at positions 28 to 507 of the family's 1533-position model. The record is from RNAcentral.